Small nucleolar RNA from Rhinolophus ferrumequinum (greater horseshoe bat), 103 nucleotides. The record is from Ensembl. NCBI's taxonomy places the organism in Eukaryota, Metazoa, Chordata, Mammalia, Chiroptera, Rhinolophidae.
AUUCUUUUGUAGUUCACAAUUGUCAUGAUUGGGUGUUCACACUCUGUGUGACAUGUGCCUCCCUCAAGUCUUGGUACAAUGUUGGCACAUUACCUGUCUAAUG